GAUGAACGCUGGCGGCGUGCCUAAUACAUGCAAGUAGAACGCUGAAGGAGGAGCUUGCUCUUUCCGGAUGAGUUGCGAACGGGUGAGUAACGCGUAGGUAACCUGCCUGGUAGCGGGGGAUAACUAUUGGAAACGAUAGCUAAUACCGCAUAACAGUAGAUAUUGCAUGAUAUCUGCUUGAAAGGUGCAAUUGCAUCACUACCAGAUGGACCUGCGUUGUAUUAGCUAGUUGGUGAGGUAACGGCUCACCAAGGCGACGAUACAUAGCCGACCUGAGAAGGUGAUCGGCCACACUGGGACUGAGACACGGCCCAGACUCCUACGGGAGGCAGCAGUAGGGAAUCUUCGGCAAUGGACGGAAGUCUGACCGAGCAACGCCGCGUGAGUGAAGAAGGUUUUCGGAUCGUAAAGCUCUGUUGUAAGAGAAGAACGAGUGUGAGAGUGGAAAGUUCACACUGUGACGGUAUCUACCAGAAAGGAC
RNAcentral lists this ribosomal RNA (481 nucleotides) under Streptococcus sp. oral taxon 431. Its description in RNAcentral is "bacterial SSU rRNA". It matches the Rfam family "Bacterial small subunit ribosomal RNA", at positions 28 to 493 of the family's 1533-position model. Lineage: Bacteria; Bacillati; Bacillota; Bacilli; Lactobacillales; Streptococcaceae. The record is from RNAcentral.